AGUGAACGCUGGCGGUAGGCCUAACACAUGCAAGUCGAACGGCAGCACAGUAAGAGCUUGCUCUUACGGGUGGCGAGUGGCGGACGGGUGAGGAAUAAAUCGGAAUCUACUUUUUCGUGGGGGAUAACGUAGGGAAACUUACGCUAAUACCGCAUACGACCUACGGGUGAAAGCAGGGGAUCUUCGGAACUUGCGCGAUUGAAUGAGCCGAUGUCGGAUUAGCUAGUUGGCGGGGUAAAGGCCCACCAAGGCGACGAUCCGUAGCUGGUCUGAGAGGAUGAUCAGCCACACUGGAACUGAGACACGGUCCAGACCCGUACGGUAGGCAGCAGUGGGGAAUAUUGGACAAUGGGCGCAAGCCUGAUCCAGCCAUACCGCGUGGGUGAAGAAGGCCUUCGGGUUGUAAAGCCCUUUUGUUGGGAAAGAAAAGCAGCAGGUUAAUACCCCGCUGUUCUGACGGUACCCAAAGAAUAAGCACCGGCUAACUUCGU
Molecule: ribosomal RNA, 491 nt
Filed under: uncultured bacterium
Lineage: Bacteria
Description: partial 16S ribosomal RNA
Rfam family: Bacterial small subunit ribosomal RNA
Source: RNAcentral